UCCUGCCCUCACGGAGCUCUCAUGCAAGUGGGAAGAAAAGAAAGACCAAGAAACAGACAAUUACAAUACAAUAUGAUGAGUACCAGCGUGCUCCAAGGAGUGUUUCCAUCGUGGAUAAUUCACAGUCAACUGCUGUGAGGAUUAUCUCAGACGUAUCAAGCCUACUGCUCAUAUAAACAUUAUGGAGGCAGCAUGGUAAAACACAGUACAACAGGAAGACCUGUGCAGGGAGACCUGGGUGCUGCUCCUUAGCUCUACCAUUAAUAAGUACCUUGAUCUUCAUCUGAGGACUCCACCCCUCCCUAUGGAGCCCAUGUGCCUUCAGAGAAGCGGACCCACUCCCUGUGCCAAAAUAAAUAAUCAAGCAAGAAAACACAAAACUUUGGUCAAAUUACCAGCACAGGGUCCACAAUACAGAGAGGAGCAGAUCCAGCAAACAAAAAACAAGAUAAGGAACAAAAUGUGAUCAGAAUCCAAGUCAUCAAAGGUAGGAUACUAGAGGCUGGAGUCAUGGGGAAUAGGGGAAAACAUUUAGGUUCAAGAAGUAGGGUUUGAAAGGUGGCUUAUCAGAUAAAGAAUAUCUGGUCUAUUUGUUUACCAGACCCUCGUUUUUUAGGUGCACAAAAUGGCACCCCACUCCAGUACUCUUGCCUGGAAAAUCCCAUGGGUGGAGGAGCCUAGUAGGCUGCAAUCCAUGGGAUCAAUAAGAGUCGGACACGACUGAACGA
Long non-coding RNA from Bubalus bubalis (water buffalo), 728 nucleotides. RefSeq lists it as uncharacterized. The transcript has 4 exons. NCBI's taxonomy places the organism in Eukaryota, Metazoa, Chordata, Mammalia, Artiodactyla, Bovidae. The record is from RefSeq and is a predicted model, not a curated record.